GUGGCCGUAGUUCAAUGGUAGAACAUUGGCCUGUGGAGCCAAACGUUGGGGGUUCAAGUCCCCUCGGUCACCCUA
RNAcentral lists this transfer RNA (75 nucleotides) under Candidatus Gottesmanbacteria bacterium CG_4_10_14_0_8_um_filter_37_24. RNAcentral's name for it is "tRNA-His". It matches the Rfam family "tRNA". Rfam says of the family: Transfer RNA (tRNA) molecules are approximately 80 nucleotides in length. Their secondary structure includes four short double-helical elements and three loops (D, anti-codon, and T loops). Lineage: Bacteria; Candidatus Gottesmaniibacteriota. The record is from RNAcentral. RNAcentral also lists the same sequence under 2 other names.